ACUUCGUUACGGAGGUAUUAAGAGAAAUCUCAACCAAUCAGAGCUCGAGUAUGCCGGUGGAGCGGCCGCGGUAGCGAAGGCUACGCGCUGAGCGGUCGCGCUCGUGCGUCCUUCGCUGCACGUCGAGUCACUUGUUCGCGUACGAGCGCGACCGUUCAGCGCGUAGCCAUCGCUACCGCGGUCGCUCCAACGGUAUCCGCGCGCUCUGAUUGGUCGAUGUUUUCUCUUAAUAUCUCUUUAACGAAGCCUCGGACAACAUUUUCGCUAAGGAAAAAGUUGUUUGAAAUCAUCCCCCGAACCACCUCGUCCAAGGAAUUCCAACAAUUUCGGGACACUGUAUAUCGAGUGCUUUUCAUCGGACCUAAAAAACUUAAUUUCUAAACGUCAGUAUCCCUCUUGACGAGAAGUCGUGGAACCGAAGAUGAUUACGUCGGAAGGAAGAAGUCGGAAAAAGAAGAGAUGAAGAGGCGCGCAGAAGGGCCCGCCAGACUGAUCCUGAACCCUCGAUCGUUUUUCGGACGACUGAGCCACUUCGUUCCAUCGACAGAGCCUUUUAUACCUUCUUGUGGUAGCCUUCCGCGGCGUUCUAUCGCACGUGGGAUCUCCUUUUGAUGGAAGUCUUUACUGUACUACUACGAAGAGUCUCGUAUUAUUUACGAAACAUAUAUUUCUCGAAAUAACGUAUCAACGUUCACUCUUCCGAGUCAUACGAUAGGUUUUUAGUUCGCAGCUUGGAAUCUCCUUUCGAUCGAAGUCAAACUUACUGUACUCCUACGAAGCAUUUCGUAUUAUCUACGAAACAUAUAUUUCUAGAAGUAACAUAUCAAAAUUCACUCUUCCGACUCGUACGAGAGGUUUUUAAUUCGCAGCUUCACCAAACAUCAAAGAAAUGAAACAUAAAGGUGAAUUCUACAAGAAAAUUCGAGAUUUAAUCCAAUAUAAAAUUCACGA
Hylaeus anthracinus is the source of this 951-nucleotide long non-coding RNA. RefSeq lists it as uncharacterized. The transcript has 4 exons. The record is from RefSeq and is a predicted model, not a curated record. Lineage: Eukaryota; Metazoa; Arthropoda; Insecta; Hymenoptera; Colletidae.